AACGAACGCUGGCGGCAUGCUUAACACAUGCAAGUCGAGCGCCCCGCAAGGGGAGCGGCAGACGGGUGAGUAACGCGUGGGAACAUACCCUUUGGUUCGGAAUAACUCAGGGAAACUUGAGCUAAUACCGGAUACGUCCGUAAGGAGAAAGAUUUAUCGCCAAAGGAUUGGCCCGCGUCCGAUUAGCUAGUUGGUGAGGUAACGGCUCACCAAGGCUACGAUCGGUAGCUGGUCUGAGAGGGUGAUCAGCCACAUUGGGACUGAGACACGGCCCAAACUCCUACGGGAGGCAGCAGUGGGGAAUAUUGGACAAUGGGCGCAAGCCCGAUCCAGCCAUGCCGCGUGAGUGAUGAAGGCCUUAGGGUUGUAAAGCUCUUUUGUCCGGGAAGAUAAUGACUGUACCGGAAGAAUAAGCCCCGGCUAACUUCGUGCCAGCAGCCGC
This 442-nucleotide ribosomal RNA is filed under the name uncultured bacterium. RNAcentral's name for it is "bacterial SSU rRNA". It matches the Rfam family "Bacterial small subunit ribosomal RNA", at positions 29 to 518 of the family's 1533-position model. The record is from RNAcentral.